CUACGGGAGGCAGCAGUGAGGAAUAUUGGGCAAUGGGGGAAACCCUGACCCAGCAAUGCCGCGUGCGGGAAGACGCCUUUCGGGGUGUAAACCCCUUUCAGCAGGGACGAAUCAAGACGGUACCUGCAGAAGAAGCCCCGGCUAACUACGUGCCAGCAGCCGCGGUAACACGUAGGGGGCAAGCGUUGUCCGGAUUUAUUGGGCGUAAAGAGCUCGUAGGCGGCUCGGUAAGUCGGGUGUCAAAUCCCCAGGCUCAACCUGGGGCUGCACUCGAUACUGCUGUGGCUAGAGUCCGGUAGGGGAGCAUGGAAUUCCUGGUGUAGCGGUGAAAUGCGCAGAUAUCAGGAGGAACACCAGCGGCGAAGGCGGUGCUCUGGGCCGGAACUGACGCUGAGGAGCGAAAGCGUGGGUAGCAAACAGGAUUAGAUACCCCAGUAGUCC
RNAcentral lists this ribosomal RNA (441 nucleotides) under uncultured bacterium. RNAcentral's name for it is "bacterial SSU rRNA". It matches the Rfam family "Bacterial small subunit ribosomal RNA", at positions 339 to 796 of the family's 1533-position model. The record is from RNAcentral.